Molecule: ribosomal RNA, 407 nt
Filed under: uncultured bacterium
Lineage: Bacteria
Description: partial 16S ribosomal RNA
Rfam family: Bacterial small subunit ribosomal RNA
Source: RNAcentral
AUCGAACGCUGGCGGCAGGCCUAAUACAUGCAAGUCGAGCGGAGCGGCGGACGGGUGAGUAAUACCUAGGAAACAGCCUGGUAGUGGGGGAUACCGUUCGGAAACGGACGCUAAUACCGCAUAAUAUCAGAUGAGCCUAGGUCGGCGUAGCUAGUUGGUGAGGGAAUGGCUCACCAAGGCUACGAUGCGUAACUGGCCUGAGAGGAUGAUCAGUCACACGUGAACUGAGACACGGUCCAGACUCCUACGUGAGGCAGCAUUGGGGAAUAUUGGACAAUGGGCGAAAGCCUGACCCAGCCAUGCCGCGUGUGUGAAGAAGGUCUUCGGAUUGUAAAGCACUGUAAUUUGGGAGGCGUUACCGACAGAAUAAGCACCGGCUAACUCUGUGCCAGCAGCCACGGUAAUUC